RNAcentral lists this ribosomal RNA (1196 nucleotides) under Salmonella enterica subsp. enterica serovar Enteritidis. RNAcentral describes it as "partial 23S ribosomal RNA". It matches the Rfam family "Bacterial large subunit ribosomal RNA", at positions 1 to 1230 of the family's 2925-position model. The record is from RNAcentral. Lineage: Bacteria; Pseudomonadati; Pseudomonadota; Gammaproteobacteria; Enterobacterales; Enterobacteriaceae.
GGGUUGUGAGGUUAAGCGACUAAGCGUACACGGUGGAUGCCCUGGCAGUCAGAGGCGAUGAAGGGCGUGCUAAUCUGCGAUAAGCGCCGGUAAGGUGAUAUGAACCGUUAUAACCGGCGAUACCCGAAUGGGGAAACCCAGUGUGAUUCGUCACACUAUCAUUAACUGAAUCCAUAGGUUAAUGAGGCGAACCGGGGGAACUGAAACAUCUAAGUACCCCGAGGAAAAGAAAUCAACCGAGAUUCCCCCAGUAGCGGCGAGCGAACGGGGAGGAGCCCAGAGCCUGAAUCAGCAUGUGUGUUAGUGGAAGCGUCUGGAAAGGCGCGCGAUACAGGGUGACAGCCCCGUACACAAAAGCGCAUGUGCUGUGAGCUCGAUGAGUAGGGCGGGACACGUGGUAUCCUGUCUGAAUAUGGGGGGACCAUCCUCCAAGGCUAAAUACUCCUGACUGACCGAUAGUGAACCAGUACCGUGAGGGAAAGGCGAAAAGAACCCCGGCGAGGGGAGUGAAAAAGAACCUGAAACCGUGUACGUACAAGCAGUGGGAGCACCCUUUGGGUGUGACUGCGUACCUUUUGUAUAAUGGGUCAGCGACUUAUAUUCUGUAGCAAGGUUAACCGAAUAGGGGAGCCGGAGGGAAACCGAGUCUUAAUUGGGCGUUAAGUUGCAGGGUAUAGACCCGAAACCCGGUGAUCUAGCCAUGGGCAGGUUGAAGGUUGGGUAACACUAACUGGAGGACCGAACCGACUAAUGUUGAAAAAUUAGCGGAUGACCUGUGGCUGGGGGUGAAAGGCCAAUCAAACCGGGAGAUAGCUGGUUCUCCCCGAAAGCUAUUUAGGUAGCGCCUCGUGAAUUCAUCUCCGGGGGUAGAGCACUGUUUCGGCUAGGGGGCCAUCCCGGCUUACCAACCCGAUGCAAACUGCGAAUACCGGAGAAUGUUAUCACGGGAGACACACGGCGGGUGCUAACGUCCGUCGUGAAGAGGGAAACAACCCAGACCGCCAGCUAAGGUCCCAAAGUCAUGGUUAAGUGGGAAACGAUGUGGGAAGGCCCAGACAGCCAGGAUGUUGGCUUAGAAGCAGCCAUCAUUUAAAGAAAGCGUAAUAGCUCACUGGUCGAGUCGGCCUGCGCGGAAGAUGUAACGGGGCUAAACCAUGCACCGAAGCUGCGGCAGCGACACUGUGUGUUGUUGGGUA